This 814-nucleotide long non-coding RNA is filed under the name Malus domestica (apple). RNAcentral describes it as "long non-coding RNA (MDOM_LNC006620)". The record is from RNAcentral. Lineage: Eukaryota; Viridiplantae; Streptophyta; Magnoliopsida; Rosales; Rosaceae.
UCAUAAUAAAUCUUAUCAAUAAAUAAUACUUAUUGAUAAUAAAAUAAUCUUAAAUUUAAGGGAUGGAAUUAUUUUAAGAAACAUGACUAUUCCUAAUAUUGGUUAAAAAAAUUGGACUUAUAUGAAACUUCCCCAUAUAAAAUCUAAAUGUUCAAAAAUAUGUAAAACUAUUUUUUUUUUCUUCAAAAUGUAUGUUCCUACUUAAAUAUAGGAAGCAUCCACCAAACAUUGAUGACAGACUUAUACCCUUCUUUAUGGAUUCCAGUACUACAUGAGGUGGUAGUGUACCGUUUGUUCCCAGAUUCACACCAUUCAAUCUAACUAGUUAUUGGCGUCAAUUAGUGGUCCAAUUGGCCUAAUACUCCCAUGUACAUCUUACAUAGCGUUUACGCCGAGAUCCUUGAACGAGCCCUAAUCUACAUUGAAAUAUGGUUUGGAUCAAAGUUCUAAAAGAUGCUAAGGCCAUCUCCAACCGAUGGCUGGCCAGAGGGCUCGUUUUAGCCCUCUGACCCUCCAAGAUUCUCCAAGAUAUUAAUAUUUUAAUGAACAGUACAGGGCCAUAUUUGCCUCCGUCUCCAACCGAGGGCCAGAGGGUCAGAGGGCUCGUUUUAGCCCUGUCACAAAAAACCGUCUCCAACCGAGGGCCAUAGGGCCAAACAUAAUUUAUUAUUUAAAAACUACAAUUUAAAUUCAAAUCUUGUGAAAUAGAAGUUAUAGGAAAUAAAAUAUGAAUCAAAUUUAUGUUGGUUUUAUGUUGUAUAAUUUGUAUGUUGGUUAAUGUUAUUUAAUGUUAUUUCAUAUUGUUUAAUGUUGU